Molecule: ribosomal RNA, 479 nt
Filed under: uncultured Planctomycetota bacterium
Lineage: Bacteria; Pseudomonadati; Planctomycetota
Description: bacterial SSU rRNA
Rfam family: Bacterial small subunit ribosomal RNA
Source: RNAcentral
UUUCGCAAUGCCCGAAAGGGUGACGAAGCGACGCCGCGUGCGGGAAGAAGGCCUUCGGGUUGUAAACCGCUGUCGGGAGUUAAGAAAUGUAAGGAUGUUAAUAGCAUCUUUGCUUGACUAAGGCUCCGGAGGAAGCCACGGCUAACUCUGUGCCAGCAGCCGCGGUAAUACAGAGGCGGCAAGCGUUGUUCGGAAUUAUUGGGCGUAAAGAGCACGUAGGCGGCUAUGUAAGUCGGUUGUGAAAGCCUUCCGCUCAACGGGAGAACAGCAUCCGAUACUGCAUGGCUUGAGUGCGGGAGGGGAGAGUGGAACUUCUGGUGGAGCGGUGAAAUGCGUAGAUAUCAGAAAGAACGCCGGCGGCGAAAGCGGCUCUCUGGCCCAUAACUGACGCUGAGUGUGCGAAAGCUAGGGGAGCAAACGGGAUUAGAUACCCCGGUAGUCCUAGCCGUAAACGAUGGGCACUAAGUAGAGGGGUUUUA